CCAAUAGCGUAUAUUAAAGUUGUUACAGUUAAAAAGCUCGUAGUUGAAUUUCGGGAUUCGUCCAUUGGUCAGGCUUAACUGUCUGUACUGGUGUGUCGGAUUUCUACCUUCUGAAGAACCUUCAUGCCAUUAAUUUGGUGUGUUGGGGAAUCAGGACUGUUACUUUGAAAAAAUUAGAGUGUUUAAAGCAGGCUAACGUCUGAAUACAUUAGCAUGGAAUAAUGAAAUAGGACGGUACGGUUCUAUUUUGUUGGUUUCUAGGAUCGCCGUAAUGAUUAAUAGGGAUAGUUGGGGGCAUUAGUAUUCAAUUGUUAGAGGUGAAAUUCUUGGAUUUAUUGAAGACUAACUACUGCGAAAGCAUUUGCCAAGGAUGUUUUCAUUAAUCAAGAACGAAAGUUAGGGGAUCGAAGACGAUCAGAUACCGUCGUAGUCUUAACCAUAAACUAUGCCGACUAGGGAUUGGACGAUGUUAAUUUUUUAAUGACUCGGUCAGCACCUUACG
RNAcentral lists this ribosomal RNA (502 nucleotides) under uncultured Glomeromycotina. RNAcentral describes it as "partial small subunit ribosomal RNA". It matches the Rfam family "Eukaryotic small subunit ribosomal RNA", at positions 591 to 1092 of the family's 1831-position model. The record is from RNAcentral. Lineage: Eukaryota; Fungi; Glomeromycota.